RNAcentral lists this ribosomal RNA (196 nucleotides) under uncultured bacterium. RNAcentral describes it as "partial 16S ribosomal RNA". It matches the Rfam family "Bacterial small subunit ribosomal RNA", at positions 1291 to 1500 of the family's 1533-position model. The record is from RNAcentral.
GUUCGGAUUNUAGGCUGAAACUCGCCUACAUGAAGCUGGAAUUGCUAGUAAUCACAGGUCAGCAUACUGUGGUGAAUACGUUCCCGGGCCUUGUACACACCGCCCGUCACACCAUGAGAGUUGAGAAUACCCGAAGCCCAUGUCAAAGUGGUCGAAGGUAGGCUUGAUGAUUGGGGUGAAGUCGUAACAAGGUAAC